Long non-coding RNA from Lycium ferocissimum, 2044 nucleotides. RefSeq lists it as uncharacterized. The transcript is spliced from 4 exons. Lineage: Eukaryota; Viridiplantae; Streptophyta; Magnoliopsida; Solanales; Solanaceae. The record is from RefSeq and is a predicted model, not a curated record.
CAGACGGCAACAAGUUGAACUGGGUACAAAGGUGGAGUUGCGUGUUUAGCAGGCUGAGGUAAAUAGAAUGCUUCUCCUAAAAGCAAAUCGCCAAAGAAGGGCCACACCGAGGGACAUCCCAAUCAUUACUACAUCGAAUGGCCCGUGAGAGCAAGUAUAAAGAGCAGGUGCGUGACACAAUUUAUCAGAAGCGUGUAACUGCAGCGAAUCGGCUGCUUAUAUAGGAGGCUUAGCAUGCACUUCUGUAGGAUUUCGUUUUAUUCACUGGGAAAAAAGAGUGCUCUCUCCUAUUCAAAAGAUAUUCUGAAUAAAAUGUGCUGCGCAGGUUGGCGUUAACUUGCUUUUCGCUAUUUUCGCGCUGCAAAAAAAAUAAAAAAAAAUAAAAGUACAUUUUUAUGCGCGGUGCACUUACAAGUUGUCCUAUAUUGUCAAUUAUUACAAAGACUGUAUAAGUUCACGCAUCUGUGAGUCAAAUUUCAUGUUAUUGACAAGAUGCAAGAGUUCUAAAUAGUAGAAUGUAAAUUAUCGAAUUGCAGAAAUUAGACAUCAAAUUUCAAAAGAGGGCAUAACUGUUGUAGAGUAUAUUGACGUUCAACAUAAACUGUGCGAUAAAAGAUCUUGUUGUUUUCAAAAUAAUAAAAAUGUGCACAUGCCCCUGGUUACCUUUUUUUGGCCACAAGGUGAUAUAUUGUAAUUAAACAAAUUAAAUAACGAUAUAAAUACAUAAAUAACCUAUAGGGCUAAUGGCUUCUGAAGAAAAGAACAAGCAUCCCUGCUCAACAAAAAGAGAUGCUGAGAUGAAGCUUGCACGACAUGAAAUGUAUGAACUCAUAUCUGCGGAAAAAAAGGGACUGCUAUUAUUACAACGACGAACAAACGGACGAGUUCAAAAGAAAUCCUCAUCUAAGGGACAUUUCUUCUGUUUCUGCACCAGGUGAUAUGACUAAACUUUUCUUGUUUACUUUUUUGGCUCAAGUAAAUUGGGGAAUUUGUACAUGCGAUUAUAGUUAAAUGACACUAAAUGCGUGUUCUAUUACAUGUGUUAGCCAAUGAAUCUCACCUUGCGGCUUUGGCAGUUACCUCUGACAAGUAAAAGAAUAUAACUCCUUUGUUCCCUGUGUAUGAAGUAGGUAAGACUGCUUUUUAUCUUUGUGAUGCAAUUACUAUACGAAACUAAUUUAUAAACUUUUGACAUUAGGCUCGACAUCAUUACAUCUAACUCAAAAUGUGAUAUGAGUUCAAGGAUUAUUCAAAAUAAAGGUUCGCGCCAGAUUUUCCAACAAUUUACAUCAAACAGCAGUUUGAACAUCAACUAUGUGAUCGACUCUUAUUUCAGACAGUUGUUAGGUAAGGACCUUAACGGUAUGGGUCUCAACGAACUAUGGCUGCUUGAACAUCAACUAAUGGAAGGGCUAUUAGCCAUAAAGAACAGAAAGGAGGAAUUGCUGAUACAACAACUAGAGCAUUCAAGGAGACAGUUAGAUGAGCUCCGAGGGUUAUUUCCUAUGACACAUUCAAUUUUAAAAGAGGGUGAGAAGGGUCAGUAGACAACGAAUUUUCCAACAGAACCUUGCAAUUAGGGCUUCCAAACACUGUUAGUCAAAAGCGAAAGGAACCUGAGAUGGGAUUUGCUUCAAGCAAUUCAGAGAAUCAAGUCAGCUCAACGUGACACUUGUCUUUCGUGACUAGCUCGUUCCCUCCUUUGUUAGGUACAUGUCAGGGGAAAUGAUUUUGAACCAGUUUUCACAUUAAAAGCAGGUUCAUCUGGACCUUUGAUAUUGUCAAGGACUUAAUGAUCCCCCAGAUGGCUUGAGCAAGAUGAAGAUGCCGGUUAAAUUUUGAUUUUGAACAAUCCCUUUUGACAAAUGUGUUCCAACAACUUCAUAUGUAUUUUCUUCCGUUCUUGGAGAUGCAUUAGGCAUUUUGAUUAACAAGGUUACCCUGAAAGUGAAACAAUCAUAACCUACAAGGCAUGAUGGUUAUAGAAAGCUGAUGAAGCAACUUUAAUUGUACUGUACAGUUAGUGGUCCAUUUCAUUGUUAAG